This 72-nucleotide transfer RNA is filed under the name Urocitellus parryii (Arctic ground squirrel). RNAcentral's name for it is "Spermophilus parryii (Arctic ground squirrel) tRNA". It matches the Rfam family "tRNA". From Rfam's summary of the family: Transfer RNA (tRNA) molecules are approximately 80 nucleotides in length. Their secondary structure includes four short double-helical elements and three loops (D, anti-codon, and T loops). Lineage: Eukaryota; Metazoa; Chordata; Mammalia; Rodentia; Sciuridae. RNAcentral also lists the same sequence under 2 other names. The record is from Rfam by way of RNAcentral.
AGGGGUGUAGCUCAGUGGCAGAGUGCUUGGCUGGCAGUUUUGUGGCCCUAAAUUUGACCUUUAGCACCUCAA